This 253-nucleotide ribosomal RNA is filed under the name uncultured bacterium. RNAcentral describes it as "partial 16S ribosomal RNA". It matches the Rfam family "Bacterial small subunit ribosomal RNA", at positions 524 to 776 of the family's 1533-position model. The record is from RNAcentral.
UACAGAGGGUGCAAGCGUUAUUCGGAAUUAUUGGGCGUAAAGAGCGCGUAGGCGGUUUGAUAAGUUUGAUGUGAAAUCCCUGGACUCAAUCCAGGAAGUGCAUUGAAUACUGUCAGACUUGAGUGCGGGAGAGGAGAGUGGAAUUCCUGGUGUAGAGGUGAAAUUCGUAGAUAUCAGGAGGAACAACAGAGGCGAAGGCGACUCUCUGGACCGCUACUGACGCUGAGGCGCGAAAGUGUGGGGAGCAAACAGG